UAUACCUUCCACCGCCAUCAUCAUCUCACCAUCAUCUUCGUGAAUCAUCUUCGCCUCUCCUAUCCCAACUGUUACGUACAAUUGCGAUAUAUUGGCUUAUAGUUGCGCUCCUUCAAUCCUUCUUUCUCCUCUUCGUUGAAGAUGGAUACUAGUAAAGGAUGUUACUACUUUCAGGAUUAACGUACUCAAGGUUGGUAAAGGUACUUGGCUACGAGUGAGGAGACGCUUAGAAUAACCACAUAGUCAAGAGACAAUUUCUAUUUCAAUUUAAGUUAGAUUUUAUUAUUUAUUUUAUGGGGAUUAAUUGGUUGUAAUAUUUUAUUGGCCACCUUUUAGACCACUUAGUUAAUUUUGACUUUAAUGAU
Long non-coding RNA from Spinacia oleracea (spinach), 365 nucleotides. RefSeq lists it as uncharacterized. The transcript is spliced from 3 exons. The record is from RefSeq and is a predicted model, not a curated record. Lineage: Eukaryota; Viridiplantae; Streptophyta; Magnoliopsida; Caryophyllales; Amaranthaceae.